This 478-nucleotide ribosomal RNA is filed under the name uncultured bacterium. RNAcentral describes it as "partial 16S ribosomal RNA". It matches the Rfam family "Bacterial small subunit ribosomal RNA", at positions 28 to 523 of the family's 1533-position model. The record is from RNAcentral.
GACGAACGCUGGCGGCGUGCUAAACACAUGCAAGUCGAACGGUAAGGCCCUUCGGGGUACACGAGUGGCGAACGGGUGAGUAACACGUGGGUGAUCUGCCCUGCACUUCGGGAUAAGCCUGGGAAACUGGGUCUAAUACCGGAUAGGACCACUGCCUGCAUGGGUGGUGGUGGAAAGCUUUUGCGGUGUGGGAUGGGCCCGCGGCCUAUCAGCAUGUUGGUGGGGUGAUGGCCUACCAAGGCGACGACGGGUAGCCGGCCUGAGAGGGUGACCGGCCACACUGGGACUGAGAUACGGCCCAGACUCCUACGGGAGGCAGCAGUGGGGAAUAUUGCACAAUGGGCGCAAGCCUGAUGCAGCGACGCCGCGUGAGGGAUGACGGCCUUCGGGUUGUAAACCUCUUUCAGCACCGACGAAGCGCAAGUGACGGUAGGCGCAGAAAAAGGACCGGCCAACUACGUGCCAGCCGCCGCCGUAA